RNAcentral lists this ribosomal RNA (216 nucleotides) under uncultured bacterium. RNAcentral's name for it is "partial 16S ribosomal RNA". It matches the Rfam family "Bacterial small subunit ribosomal RNA", at positions 1285 to 1500 of the family's 1533-position model. The record is from RNAcentral.
GUCCCAGUUCGGAUUGUAGUCUGCAACCCGACUACAUGAAGCUGGAAUCGCUAGUAAUCGCGAAUUAGAAUGUCGCGGUGAAUACGUUCCCGGGUCUUGUACACACCGCCCGUCACACCAUGGGAGUCGGAAAUGCCCGAAGUCAGUGACCCAACCGUAAGGAGGGAGCUGCCGAAGGUGGAGCCGGUAACUGGGGUGAAGUCGUAACAAGGUAAC